GAGAGAGAGUGGGCUUUCCGUGCAAUUCAGACACCUGACGGGGAUUCAUCCGCCUAUUAGGUCUUGGAGCACAUGCAAUGACCCAUCUAAAAUAUCAUGGCUGAUCAUGGGCGAUGGUUUAUUUGCUCUGACGUUUUUUUGUUAUCUGUGUACGCCUGCAGUGAUGGGCCACCAUCCCGGCCAACACGAGGAGGUCCCGGUCCCGCUGUUCAAAGAGCGCCUCCGAAACGUCCGUCCGGAUCUGGGCCACCGCCUGCGGCUGCGGACGAACCACCGAGACCUGCUCCGCCGUCGCGGCCAGUACCAAGGCAAAACCGCCCAGCCGCACCUCCGGCCCGUCCUUCUCGGCCAAGCUAAGCACAACACCGCCGAAGACAAGCUUGGCAACGGUCGCUACUAGCGCUGCCCCUCACUGAAUGUAAGAUACAGGGUUGGUGAAAACUGCCAAUGAAUUCCUUUUUCCUUCUCUUUAGCACGGAAUUAUUUGCUGGGUGCCUCCCGGCUUUUACUAGAGAAUGUUGUAUCUGCUCCUUUAUUCUGAUUAUCACAAUACUACGUUAGUGCCUUCAUUUUCUCCUUAGAGCUUGCUUUAUAUUAUCCGUAGACGAGGUUUUUUUCCUCUAGUAAAGGGUUAUCCACGUGAAGUUUUGCUGGUCUGAACAGAAUCUGUAUCUCCCGCCGGCGGCGACUGCCCUUGUCCGUAGGUGGUCUCUCUUGCCGUGUGCAUGAGCGUACCCACCCGCCGCUACUUGCAUCUGACGGUGCUGGUGCAUCGCUUGCAGUAUCGUGCUGUGUCUCCCCUUCUGCUUGUGUAGCUGGGCAUGUUGCCUUUCCGCCAUUAUAGCAUGCCCAUGACUGUACAUGUAUGGCCUUGCCUGUUUUUUGUUGUUUUUCUUUUCUUUUUUGUUGUUGUCUUUUUUGGAUCUCUGGCUGCGCUGGUCGCACAUAGCCGAUGUGAAGAGGUCCCAUUAUGCAUGUUAUCGUUUGUGUUGCUUAUGAUGAUGAGAUCAUGCUUAUGAUGAUGUCACAUCAUUCUUAUGAUAGUGGCAUCCUUCUUAUGAUGAUGCCAUCAUCAUUGUUAUUUUGGAAUUCACCGAGUUGCAUGGUAACGUUAGUGAUGCCAUGAGAGCUUAGAGCAUCAUUGGUAUGUUAUGUCAUUAAAAGUGACGUCGGACCGUGGCA
This is a long non-coding RNA of Sycon ciliatum, 1182 nucleotides long. RefSeq lists it as uncharacterized. Lineage: Eukaryota; Metazoa; Porifera; Calcarea; Leucosolenida; Sycettidae. The record is from RefSeq and is a predicted model, not a curated record. The transcript has 2 exons.